UGCCGGCCGGCGCUCUUUUCACAUUGUGCUACUGUCUGCACUCGUCACAAGCAGUGCAAUGUUAAAAGGGCAUCGGCGGGCA
This 82-nucleotide microRNA precursor is filed under the name Cavia porcellus (domestic guinea pig). RNAcentral describes it as "mir-130 microRNA precursor family". It matches the Rfam family "mir-130 microRNA precursor family". From Rfam's summary of the family: The hairpin precursors (represented here) are predicted based on base pairing and cross-species conservation -- their extents are not known. Lineage: Eukaryota; Metazoa; Chordata; Mammalia; Rodentia; Caviidae. The record is from Rfam by way of RNAcentral.